Epinephelus moara (kelp grouper) is the source of this 472-nucleotide long non-coding RNA. RefSeq lists it as uncharacterized. Lineage: Eukaryota; Metazoa; Chordata; Actinopteri; Perciformes; Serranidae. The record is from RefSeq and is a predicted model, not a curated record. The transcript has 3 exons.
CCAUAUGUCCUACGCGCUUGAUCGCACCAUAGUCGUUCCGACGCUAUUGAAAGCACCACACCUGAGUGAGGGAUGCCGCACUGUGAAAGUUUAGUUUUCUCCUGAUACAGCGGCGGAUAGCCUGUUAUUUUCCUUGUACCCUUUCCCAACAUUCAUCAUCACGCCAUGGUUUAUUGCUGUGUGUAAAUGCCAGAAGACCACGGUUAAUAAAUCAACCUCCAACUGGACAUCUGUAUCCGUGUUCUUUAAUGGGGACACACACCCUACACCUGCCGCUCUAAACCAGUUAAUUGUCCGGAGAUAACCCCCUGUUCUCCUAUUUAAUUUGGAUACUGUUUUCCUAACUGGCUUGAUUGAGGAUACAUUGUGUGGUUGCUGGUUCCCCUGUCUGAAGGAGAUACCGAGUACAGCUGAUGUGACAACAGGACAGAAGUAAGUGAGGAAACCAGCCGUAAUUAAAGCGCUUUAUGAG